RNAcentral lists this ribosomal RNA (253 nucleotides) under uncultured bacterium. RNAcentral describes it as "partial 16S ribosomal RNA". It matches the Rfam family "Bacterial small subunit ribosomal RNA", at positions 524 to 776 of the family's 1533-position model. The record is from RNAcentral.
UACGGAGGGAGCUAGCGUUGUCCGGAAUUAUUGGGCGUAAAGAGCUCGUAGGCGGUCUGUCGCGUCUGCUGUGAAAACUCAGGGCUUAACCCUGAGCUUGCAGUGGGUACGGGCAGACUAGAGUGCGGUAGGGGAGACUGGAAUUCCUGGUGUAGCGGUGAAAUGCGCAGAUAUCAGGAGGAACACCGGUGGCGAAGGCGGGUCUCUGGGCCGUAACUGACGCUGAGGAGCGAAAGCAUGGGGAGCGAACAGG